ACGUAGGGGGCAAGCGUUAUCCGGAAUUAUUGGGCGUAAAGAGUGCGUAGGUGGUUUUUUAAGCGUGAGGUGAAAGGCAAUAGCUUAACUAUUGUAAGCCUUGCGAACUGGAAGGCUUGAGUGCAGGAGAGGAAAGUGGAAUUCCUAGUGUAGCGGUGAAAUGCGUAGAAAUUAGGAGGAACACCAGAGGGGGUGGCGACUUUCUGGAAUGUAACUGACACUGAGGCGGGAGAGUGUGGGGAGCAAAGAG
RNAcentral lists this ribosomal RNA (250 nucleotides) under uncultured prokaryote. Its description in RNAcentral is "partial 16S rRNA". It matches the Rfam family "Bacterial small subunit ribosomal RNA", at positions 525 to 775 of the family's 1533-position model. The record is from RNAcentral.